Rachicladosporium sp. CCFEE 5018 is the source of this 114-nucleotide transfer RNA. It matches the Rfam family "tRNA". Rfam says of the family: Transfer RNA (tRNA) molecules are approximately 80 nucleotides in length. Their secondary structure includes four short double-helical elements and three loops (D, anti-codon, and T loops). The record is from Rfam. Lineage: Eukaryota; Fungi; Ascomycota; Dothideomycetes; Cladosporiales; Cladosporiaceae.
GGACAGAUGGCCGAGCGGUUAAGGCGCUAGCUUCAGGAAGACUAGGCAAGGCUCAGCCUGCCAGGUAGAAUUCGCUAGUCUGAAAGGGCGUGGGUUCGAAUCCCACUCUGUUCA